AGGACGAACGCUGGCGGCGUGCUUAACACAUGCAAGUCGAGCGGAAAGGCCUUUCGGGGUACUCGAGCGGCGAACGGGUGAGUAACACGUGAGUAACCUGCCCUGGACUUUGGGAUAACCCUCGGAAACGGGGGCUAAUACCGAAUAUGACCCGACACUGCAUGGUGAUGGGUGGAAAGUUUUUCGGUCUGGGAUGGGCUCGCGGCCUAUCAGCUUGUUGGUGGGGUGAUGGCCUACCAAGGCGACGACGGGUA
RNAcentral lists this ribosomal RNA (254 nucleotides) under uncultured bacterium. Its description in RNAcentral is "partial small subunit ribosomal RNA". It matches the Rfam family "Bacterial small subunit ribosomal RNA", at positions 26 to 285 of the family's 1533-position model. The record is from RNAcentral.